Molecule: ribosomal RNA, 886 nt
Filed under: Dirina approximata
Lineage: Eukaryota; Fungi; Ascomycota; Arthoniomycetes; Arthoniales; Roccellaceae
Description: LSU rRNA
Rfam family: Eukaryotic large subunit ribosomal RNA
Source: RNAcentral
AUAUCAAUAAGCGGAGGAAAAGAAACCAACAGGGAUUGCCCUAGUAACGGCGAGUGAAGCGGCAACAGCUCAAAUUUGAAAUCUGGCCUCUUCGGGGUCCGAGUUGUAAUUUGCAGAGGAUGCUUCGGCGUUGGACCCGGGCUAAGUCCCCUGGAACGAGGCGCCCUAGAGGGUGAGAGCCCCGUACUCAUCCGGCCGUCCUUCGCCAUCUGAAGCCCCUUCGACGAGUCGAGUUGUUUGGGAAUGCAGCUCUAAGCGGGAGGUAUAUUUCUUCUAAGGCUAAAUACCGGCCAGAGACCGAUAGCGCACAAGUAGAGUGAUCGAAAGAUGAAAAGCACUUUGGAAAGAGAGUUAAAAAGCACGUGAAAUUGUUGAAAGGGAAGCUCUUGCCGCCAGACUUGCCGCGGUUGCUCAGCCGCCCCCCGGGGCGGUGCACUCUUCCGUCGGCAGGCCAGCGUCAGUUCGGGCGACCGGAUAAAGGCCCCAGGAAUGUAGCACCCUCCGGGGUGUGUUAUAGCCUAGGGUGCAAUGCGGUCAGCCCGGUCCGAGGUACGCGUUCGCGAGGACGCUGGCGUAAUGGCUGCAAGCGACCCGUCUUGAAACACGGACCAAGGAGUCUAACAUCUGUGCGAGUGUUUGGGCGUCAAACCCAUGCGCGUAAUGAAAGUGAACGGAGGUGGGAACCCCCUCGAGGGGCGCACCAUCGACCGAUCCUGAUGUCUUCGGACGGAUUUGAGUAAGAGCAUAGCUGUUGGGACCCGAAAGAUGGUGAACUAUUCCCGGAUAGGGUGAAGCCAGAGGAAACUCUGGUGGAGGCUCGCAGCGGUUCUGACGUGCAAAUCGAUCGUCAAAUCUAGGAAUAGGGGCGAAAGACUAAUCGAACCAU